Molecule: small RNA, 247 nt
Filed under: Vigna angularis var. angularis
Lineage: Eukaryota; Viridiplantae; Streptophyta; Magnoliopsida; Fabales; Fabaceae
Description: Non-protein coding transcript
Source: RNAcentral
CUCUCCUACCUAUUUUAUAUUCAUCAAGAGACAUUCAGUUCUUCUAAAAAGAAUAAACAAUUGCAGGGUUUUUUAUAAAAACAGGGUCCGCAAGAUUGGCAUCUGGAUCCCUUUUUGCUCUUAUGAAACAGAAAUCAGGUCAUGGAUCAGAUGUUAUGUCUGAAUUAUGGUUCAAUGCAUUAGCCUUUCAAUGGUAGUUGUCACAAUAUCAAUGAUUUCCUUCUGAAACCUGGAAAUCCACAAAGAG